GACGAACGCUGGCGGCGUGCUUAACACAUGCAAGUCGAACGGAAAGGCCCUGCUUUUGUGGGGUGCUCGAGUGGCGAACGGGUGAGUAACACGUGAGUAACCUGCCCUUGACUUUGGGAUAACUUCAGGAAACUGGGGCUAAUACCGGAUAGGAGAUCCUGCUGCAUGGUGGGGGUCGGAAAGUUUCGGCGGGUGGGGAUGGACUCGGGGGUUAUCAGCUUGUGGGGGGGGGAGUGGCUUACCAAGGCGUUGACGGGUGGCCGGCCUGGGAGGGUGACCGGCCACAAUGGUCCUGCGGGACGGCCCAGAGUCCAACGGGGGGCAGCAGUGGGGAAUAUUGCACAAUGGGCGGGAGCCUGAUGCAGCAACGCCGCGUUCGGGAUGACGGCCUUCGGGUUGUAAACCGCUUUCGCCUGUGACGAAGCGUUAGUGACGGUAAUGAGUAAAGAAGCACCGGCUAACUACGUG
This 468-nucleotide ribosomal RNA is filed under the name uncultured bacterium. Its description in RNAcentral is "partial 16S ribosomal RNA". It matches the Rfam family "Bacterial small subunit ribosomal RNA", at positions 28 to 507 of the family's 1533-position model. The record is from RNAcentral.